GGUUUACCUGUGUGACUGCGUACCUUUUGUAUAAUGGGUCAGCGACUUAUAUUCUGUAGCAAGGUUAACCGUAUAGGGGAGCCGUAGGGAAACCGAGUCUUAACCGGGCGUUAAGUUGCAGGGUAUAGACCCGAAACCCGGUGAUCUAGCCAUGGGCAGGUUGAAGGUUGGGUAACACUAACUGGAGGACCGAACCGACUAAUGUUGAAAAAUUAGCGGAUGACCUGUGGCUGGGGGUGAAAGGCCAAUCAAACCGGGAGAUAGCUGGUUCUCCCCGAAAGCUAUUUAGGUAGCGCCUCGUGAAUUCAUCUCCGGGGGUAGAGCACUGUUUCGGCUAGGGGGCCAUCCCGGCUUACCAACCCGAUGCAAACUGCGAAUACCGGAGAAUGUUAUCACGGGAGACACACGGCGGGUGCUAACGUCCGUCGUGAAGAGGGAAACAACCCAGACCGCCAGCUAAGGUCCCAAAGUCAUGGUUAAGUGGGAAACGAUGUGGGAAGGCCCAGACAGCCAGGAUGUUGGCUUAGAAGCAGCCAUCAUUUAAAGAAAGCGUAAUAGCUCACUGGUCGAGUCGGCCUGCGCGGAAGAUGUAACGGGGCUAAACCAUGCACCGAAGCUGCGGCAGCGACGCUGAUGCGUUGUUGGGUAGGGGAGCGUUCUGUAAGCCUG
Molecule: ribosomal RNA, 669 nt
Filed under: Salmonella enterica subsp. enterica serovar Mbandaka
Lineage: Bacteria; Pseudomonadati; Pseudomonadota; Gammaproteobacteria; Enterobacterales; Enterobacteriaceae
Description: partial 23S ribosomal RNA
Rfam family: Bacterial large subunit ribosomal RNA
Source: RNAcentral